UGCAAGUCGAACGGCAGCAUGACCUAGCUUGCUAGGUUGAUGGCGAGUGGCGGACGGGUGAGUAACGCGUAGGGAUCUGCCCUAAAGUGGGGGACAACUCGAGGAAACUCGAGCUAAUACCGCAUAAGCUCUCAGGAGUAAAGCUGGGGACCUUCGGGCCUGGCGCUUUAGGAUGAACCUGCGUCCGAUUAGCUAGUUGGUAAGGUAAAGGCUUACCAAGGCGACGAUCGGUAGCUGUUCUGAGAGGAAGAUCAGCCACACUGGGACUGAGAUACGGCCCAGACUCCUACGGGAGGCAGCAGUGGGGAAUAUUGGACAAUGGGGGAAACCCUGAUCCAGCAAUGCCGCGUGUGUGAAGAAGGCCUGCGGGUUGUAAAGCACUUUCAGUGGGGAGGAGAGGUUUAGUGUUAAUAGCACUGAACUGAGACGUUACCCACAAAAGCAGCACCGGCUAACUCUGUGCCAGCAGCCGCGGUAAUACAGAGGGUGCGAGCGUUAAUCGGAAUUACUGGGCGUAAAGAGUACGUAGGUGGUUUAUCAAGUUGGCUGUGAAAUACCCGGGCUUAACCUGGGUCUGUCAGUCAAUACUGGUAAACUAGAGGCCAAGAGAGGGUAGUGGAAUUUCCGGUGUAGCGGUGAAAUGCUUAGAUAUCGGAAGGAACAUCAGUGGCGAAGGCGGCUACCUGGCUUGGUUCUGACACUGAGGUACGAAAGCGUGGGGAGCAAACAGGAUUAGAUACCCUGGUAGUCCACGCUGUAAACGAUGACAACUAGCUG
RNAcentral lists this ribosomal RNA (777 nucleotides) under uncultured bacterium. RNAcentral describes it as "bacterial SSU rRNA". It matches the Rfam family "Bacterial small subunit ribosomal RNA", at positions 56 to 822 of the family's 1533-position model. The record is from RNAcentral.